UACGAAGGACCCGAGCGUUAUCCGGAUUUAUUGGGUUUAAAGGGUGCGUAGGCGGACUUGUAAGUCAGUGGUGAAAUCCUGCAGCUUAACUGCAGAACUGCCAUUGAAACUGCUUGUCUUGAGUACAUUUGAAGCGGGCGGAAUGUGUCAUGUAGCGGUGAAAUGCUUAGAUAUGACACAGAACACCGAUUGCGAAGGCAGCUCGCUAAACUGUAACUGACGCUGAGGCACGAAAGCGUGGGUAGCAAACAGG
RNAcentral lists this ribosomal RNA (253 nucleotides) under uncultured bacterium. RNAcentral's name for it is "partial 16S ribosomal RNA". It matches the Rfam family "Bacterial small subunit ribosomal RNA", at positions 524 to 776 of the family's 1533-position model. The record is from RNAcentral.